UACAUAUACACACACCCACUCACGCACACACACACACACAUAUAUACACAUACAUACACAUAUACACCCCCACACACAUCCACUCACACACACACACACAAACACACACACACACACUAUAUAAACCCUGCUGAAGUCCCCCUCAGAUCAUGCUCUGCUCAGCCUCCGUUCUGAAGAAUCACUGAAGAUCUGAAAACUUCAGCACCUUCUGAGAUGGCGAGUCGGACGCUCCUGCUGCUGACCUUUGUGUCUGUAAUAAACAUCUGUCUGUGUCAGAGAGGACGGGAUCCUCCCACUGCCCGAAGCUGCAAAGAGCUCAAACAAAAACAUAAAUUCAACAAAGG
Molecule: long non-coding RNA, 344 nt
Organism: Hemibagrus wyckioides
Lineage: Eukaryota; Metazoa; Chordata; Actinopteri; Siluriformes; Bagridae
Exons: 3
Source: RefSeq, a predicted model, not a curated record